AAUCUGCCUAGAGGUCGGGGACAACCAUAGGAAACGAUGGCUAAUACCGGAUAUGCCUUACGGGGUGAAAGAUUAAUUGCCUUUAGAAGAGCUCGCGUCUGAUUAGCUAGUUGGUGAGGUAAGAGCUCACCAAGGCAGCGAUCAGUAGCUGGUCUGAGAGGAUGACCAGCCACACUGGGACUGAGACACGGCCCAGACUCCUACGGGAGGCAGCAGUGGGGAAUUUUCCGCAAUGGGCGAAAGCCUGACGGAGCAAGACCGCGUGAGGGAGGAAGGCUCUUGGGUUGUAAACCUCUUUUGUCAGGGAAGAACAAAAUGACGGUACCUGACGAAUCAGCAUCGGCUAACUCCGUGCCAGCAGCCGCGGUAAUACGGAGGAUGCAAGCGUUAUCCGGAAUUAUUGGGCGUAAAGCGUCCGCAGGUGGCUGAUCAAGUCUGCGGUCAAAGACCGGGGCUUAACCCUGGAAAGGCCGUGGAAACUGAUAGAGCUAGAGUACCGUAGGGGUAGAGGGAAUUCCCGGUGUAGCGGUGAAAUGCGUAGAGAUCGGGAAGAACAUCGGUGGCGAAAGCGCUCUACUGGACGGUGACUGACACUCAGGGACGAAAGCUAGGGGAGCGAAUG
Molecule: ribosomal RNA, 622 nt
Filed under: uncultured cyanobacterium
Lineage: Bacteria; Bacillati; Cyanobacteriota
Description: bacterial SSU rRNA
Rfam family: Bacterial small subunit ribosomal RNA
Source: RNAcentral